RNAcentral lists this ribosomal RNA (253 nucleotides) under uncultured bacterium. RNAcentral's name for it is "partial 16S ribosomal RNA". It matches the Rfam family "Bacterial small subunit ribosomal RNA", at positions 524 to 776 of the family's 1533-position model. The record is from RNAcentral.
UACGGAAGGUCCCGGCGUUAUCCGGAUUUAUUGGGUUUAAAGGGAGCGCAGACUGCUUGUCAAGCGUGCAGUGAAACGCCGUGGCCCAACCACGGUCCUGCUGCGCGAACUGGCUUGCUUGAGUGGGCCGUAGGUACGCGGAAUUCGUGGUGUAGCGGUGAAAUGCUUAGAUAUCACGAGGAACUCCGAUUGCGAAGGCAGCGUACCAUAUCCCGACUGACGUUUAGGCUCGAAGGUGCGGGUAUCGAACAGG